AGGUACAAUGAUGAGUGGAGACCAUUCACUCCACAGGGGGGUGCGGGUCACCGUGGUCCGAUGUCGGAGCUUAACCUGGUAUGGAACCUUGGCUGGUCACCAAUAAAUCAACUCCAGAACUGAAGUAACUCAAGUCCAUACCUCGAGCUCGGACAUAACACCUAAAGAACCAGGCCAAUGUUGCCGCCAACGAGAUGACAGGUAAGACCACAAGUACAGUGAUGGUUGUAGUGGAAAAAAUGCUUGGCUGAUAUUCGGUUGUGUUUCUGUGCUCCUGCUCAUGAGGAACUGUGGGAGUGGAAAGAAAAGGUGAGACUGAGUUUUUGGGUUGAAGCUAUGUUUACUCCACUAUGUUGGAUAUUUCUAAAGCAGGUAAUUAUGGAAUUGUUUUUUCAUAGAAAAGGGAAAAUUAUAAACAAUAUGAAAUAUACGCUUACCGGUUUUGUUGCUCUUUUCUUGAACGAUCAGGUGCACUUUGUUACUUUCCUCGGGCGGUUCGCUUUGUGGGAAUAAAGUGGCCCUGUAUGUGCCAUUGUGCUCUUCCGUAAGGUUUAUAAUUUGGAAAAAUACGAAAGAAUUUUCAGAGUAAAUGUCGAAUCCGUGUUUUUUUGCGCAACCUUUCCAUGGACAGUACUCUGCCAUUUUUUCGUCGACUAAAUAAACUGCAAAAUG
Molecule: long non-coding RNA, 672 nt
Organism: Syngnathus acus (greater pipefish)
Lineage: Eukaryota; Metazoa; Chordata; Actinopteri; Syngnathiformes; Syngnathidae
Exons: 2
Source: RefSeq, a predicted model, not a curated record